RNAcentral lists this ribosomal RNA (841 nucleotides) under uncultured eukaryote. RNAcentral describes it as "SSU rRNA". It matches the Rfam family "Eukaryotic small subunit ribosomal RNA", at positions 635 to 1426 of the family's 1831-position model. The record is from RNAcentral.
CGGUGUUCAACUGGCGUGCCCGCGGGACGUCCUGCCGGUGAGCUCAGCCCGCGAGGGCGGCUCAACUUGAAAUCCCAUCGCGGUGCUCUUCAUUGAGUGUCGAGGUGGGCCGGCACGAUUACUUUUGAACAAAUUAGAGCGCUUAAAGCAGGCUAAAAUUUUGCCUGAAUACUGUGUAUAUGGAAUAAUGGAAUAGGACCUCGGUUCUAUUUUGUUGGUUUUCGGAACCCCGAGGUAAUGAUUAAUAGGAACGGAUGGGGGCAUUCGUAUUGCGACGUUAGAGGUGAAAUUCUUGGAUCGUCGCAAGACGGACUAAAGCGAAAGCAUUUGCCAAAAACGCUUUCAUUGAUCAAGAACGAAAGUUAGAGGUUCGAAGGCGAUCAGAUACCGCCCUAGUUCUAACCAUAAACUAUGCCAGCUAGCGAUCCGCCGACGUCCCUCUGAUGACUCGGCGGGCAGCUUCCGGGAAACCAAAGCUUUUGGGUUCCGGGGGAAGUAUGGUUGCAAAGCUGAAACUUAAAGGAAUUGACGGAAGGGCACCCACCAGGAGUGGAGCCUGCGGCUUAAUCCUGACUCAACACGGGAAACCUCACCAGGCCCAGACACUGGAAGGAUUGACAGAUUGAGAGCUCUUUCUUGAUUCAGUGGGUGGUGGUGCAUGGCCGUUCUUAGUCGGUGGAGCGAUUUGUCAGGUUAAUUCCGAUAACGGACGAGACUCUGACCUGAUAACUAGACGCACUUGCGGCAUCUCAAAGGUCCGCCGGCGGCUGGCUUUGCGCCCGUCGUCGCGCGCGAUUUUUACUGCCGGCGUACAAUAAAUUCUUCUUAGAGGGACAAGUGG